This 497-nucleotide ribosomal RNA is filed under the name uncultured bacterium. RNAcentral describes it as "partial 16S ribosomal RNA". It matches the Rfam family "Bacterial small subunit ribosomal RNA", at positions 28 to 507 of the family's 1533-position model. The record is from RNAcentral.
GAUGAACGCUGGCGGCGUGCCUAAUACAUGCAAGUCGAGCGAACAGACGAGGAGCUUGCUCCUCUGACGUUAGCGGCGGACGGGUGAGUAACACGUGGAUAACCUACCUAUAAGACUGGGAUAACUUCGGGAAACCGGAGCUAAUACCGGAUAAUAUAUUGAACCGCAUGGUUCAAUAGUGAAAGACGGUUUUGCUGUCACUUAUAGAUGGAUCCGCGCCGCAUUAGCUAGUUGGUAAGGUAACGGCUUACCAAGGCGACGAUGCGUAGCCGACCCGAUAGGGUGAUCGGCCACACUGGAACUGAGACACGGUCCAGACUCCUACGGGAGGCAGCAGUAGGGAAUCUUCCGCAAUGGGCGAAAGCCUGACGGAGCAACGCCGCGUGAGUGAUGAAGGUCUUCGGAUCGUAAAACUCUGUUAUUAGGGAAGAACAAAUGUGUAAGUAACUAUGCACGUCUUGACGGUACCUAAUCAGAAAGCCACGGCUAACUACGUG